Chenopodium quinoa (quinoa) is the source of this 951-nucleotide long non-coding RNA. RefSeq lists it as uncharacterized. Lineage: Eukaryota; Viridiplantae; Streptophyta; Magnoliopsida; Caryophyllales; Amaranthaceae. The transcript has 2 exons. The record is from RefSeq and is a predicted model, not a curated record.
GUAAGCGAGUCCAAUUCUGCAAUCUCUAACCAACAAUCUGCAAACAAUAACGACGUCGUUUCAAUCGCAACAUCAAUGUACGAAUUUUCAAUCCCUAAUAAAAAUUGAAAAAUUCAACUAACUUUAAGAUUCCACGUUCGUUGAAGAAGAAGAAGAUAAACCUCUGAAUUUCGAAACCUCCAAAUUCAAUCAACAAUGUCGAAACGUUUCUUUUUCCUCCCACUCUCUCUCUUCCUCCUUCUUCUUUCUCUCUCCUCCGCAAACCCUAACCCUAAUUCUCUGUUAGCAGCACACACAGAACUCACAAGCUACGGCUUUCCCGUCGGACUUCUCCCCUCGAACGUCGCCGACUACUCAAUCAACCGAACUUCCGGCGACUUUUCCGUCAAACUCAGUGAUCAAUGCAAGCUUACUCUUCCGCCGGACAACUACCUCGCGUCGUAUUCGAAGAUCGUCAGGGGUAAAAUCGUCAAGAAUAAGAUUGCUCAGCUUGAUGGAAUUAGGGUUAGGGCUAUGUUUCAGUGGUGGUCGAUUACUGGGAUUCGAUCCAGUGGUGAUGAUUUGGUUUUCGAGGUUGGGUUGUUGAGUGCUAAGUAUCCCGCCAAAAAUUUCAAGGAGAGUCCUCCUUGUGAGGGUCUUAAGGCCGAUUCUUGAGCUCGGAACUUGAGGGUUUCACUCAUCUUUAUUUCAGUUUCGCAAGUGUACAUGCUUGCUCUCAAGUACCAUGCCCCAGGAGCAACUACCUCUAUUUUAUUGCUUUCCUUAUGUUAUGUGUAUAGAUGCUGUAAUCGUGUUAUAAUAUAGACUUUCAGUGGAAUAAAAUGUUACUGAUAAUAUCUAAGGCUUCUAAGCUUUGUCUGUAAUUUUAUUAACUUUUAAUGUUGUAUAUACAUACUGCAAACUGCUGCUGUUAUUUUUACUAUGAAGCUGUUGGCAUCACACUUGAAACUA